CUGUCGUCAGCUCGUGUCGUGAGAUGUCGGGUUAAGUCCCUUAACGAGCGAAACCCUUAUCUUUAGUUGCCAGCGGGUAAUGCCGGGGACUCUAAAGAGACUGCCGGUGUCAAACCGGAGGAAGGUGGGGAUGACGUCAAGUCCUCAUGGCCUUUAUGUCUAGGGCUGCACACGUCCUACAAUGGUACGGACAAAUGGACGCAAUACCGCGAGGUGGAGCUAAUCCCAAAAACCGUGCCUCAGUUCGGAUUGCAGGCUGCAACUCGCCUGCAUGAA
This 276-nucleotide ribosomal RNA is filed under the name uncultured Planctomycetota bacterium. RNAcentral describes it as "uncultured planctomycete partial 16S ribosomal RNA". It matches the Rfam family "Bacterial small subunit ribosomal RNA", at positions 1049 to 1324 of the family's 1533-position model. Lineage: Bacteria; Pseudomonadati; Planctomycetota. The record is from RNAcentral.